CAGAAACAGAUGAUGCUUGCAAGGAGCAACAGCAAAGUUAGGUUAUUUCAAAAUAUUUAUUUUUGAUUUUUUUACAAUGAUCAUUGAAAGAUGAGAUAUCUUUUCUUCAUGCAGUUCUAGUAAAAUAUUUUAAUAAUAAUAAACCAUUCGAGUCAUGGAUAAUAGAAUCAAUCUUCAGGAUUUGCCUGACAUUGUGUUGGAAAAAAUAUUCUCAUAUUUGACUUACAAUCAAAUAGCUGAAAAUAGAAUUAUAAGUAGAAAGUUCAAUGAAUUCGGAAAAGAAGCUUUAAAUCGUGGUUAUAACAUGGUAGAGAAGUUUCACAGGAAAUCUUUGAAAGCUGUAAGAUCAAAACUUCCACGACGUGAAUCCGAAAGAAAAAUUCAUCCUUUGGCCAGACAAUGUGACAUUUUGGUUGCCAUUGAGACAAGACUAUCUAUGCUGUCCAUGACGUUUCUGAAAUACAUAGAAUGUAAACAGUGUUGCUUUAUACCUGGCAAGGUAAUUGAUGAGUUGCUGAGAGUAAUAAAAUAUGUGAACAAGAGCAUUCAUCCGCCGCGACCUCAUGACCUCCUACAGGAGCUGAGGGAUAUCACCUCCAUGGCCAUGGAACACUUUGAGGAGAGAAUUGUGCCAAUUCUAAAAGAGAAGAUGAAUGCUUAUAAACCUUCCAUAACAUCUUCCUUCUUAGAUCGUUUAAAUAAAGUGAAGAGAACGAUAGCUAUUUCUAUUGAUAUUCUCAAAGCCCAUGAGACGGUAUCUCACAAUUCACUUUCGUAUACAUUAGAGAGAGCUCGAACGUCGUUGAAAUUGAUAGAUAGACACCUUUUACGUAGGUCACAUAAUAUCACUACUAAUGAAUCUAUUAGUGAAAUCAAUGACUCCGAUACUGGCUAUGGCCGUCCUCAAGGAAAUCAUCUGAGAGUGGCAUGCAACAUGCCUUCCACUUCGAUCACGUGCAACGACUUGUGCAGUGCCCUCAAGAGAAACCAGGCCAGCUCCAAGGUCAACCGCAGGCUCAUCAAUCUUCUACUAGUCGAAGCAAAACGAAGCAGAAAGAAGGAAGUGGCGAACAAGAAGCAAUUGAAACUGACUCUGGAGGUAGUACACAAACAAAAGCGCGAGAUAAUACGAUUAAAGCGAGUAAUUCAAAAUUGGGAAGCAAAAUUUCGAGAUCUAUCGGCCGAAGUGAGGACUAUCAGCACUCAUCCGUUCAAAAGACAAGCUGUUUCGCCUUGAUUCCGGCAACAACCCAUGUCAGUGGAACCAGGGCAGAAUGAGCAGUAACUCUGCAUUGUGACAGUUUAGAAAAUGAGAACAUGUGUGUGUUCGUUGACACGUUUGAUGAUAAUGAUGAUGAUAACAUGGCAUCACCAAGAAAAGCGAAAAAACCAAGAAAGUGAAUAAUAUUGGAAACUUGCAGUCGAGGAGUUGAUGUAGUUGAAUUAUCAAAAAUGAAUCUGUAUCCUCCAUCAGUCAACUUUCCCCUAAGAGCUUCCGAUUAUGCAAAAUGGAACGUAUUUCAUAUAUUCUCCAUAAUUUAGUAUAAUUAUCUUUUAAGCUUGUGACUGAUUCAAAAAUUAACAAAAGAUUUGUUCAACGAUGUUUACUAUACUGAACUGAUAUUAUAAUGAUAAGUUUAUAAUGUUUUUAUGAGAGCAGUUUGAAAAGUUUCAGAGCUGACCAUGAAGAUGAAAAAUCUUGUUAACACGAGAUAGUGUAACUUUUGGUCAUAUUUCAAUAGUUUCUCACACAUUUGGUUGCGUUUUUUCAUAAUAUGUUACCAUCGUUGACGGGUGUUGCGUGCCAUGUCUGCAAAGGUCAGGGCAAUAAUUGUUCAAUUUCAACUCUGUUAGCGCAGUUUAGGCGCAAAUAAUCUGAAUUUUGUCAUCAAUAUUAGUAACAUUUUAUGAUAUUUGGAUACAUUUAUGUCCAUCCAGAACUGAAAAAUCAGUUGUCUGUUUGGGCUCCAAAAAUAAAAAAAACUGACUGAAAACUGGUCUCAUGGCAACUGGUUUUGGUAUAGUCAUGAAGUUAUUUCAAACAGUUAUCUCCAAAAACUUACACACGAUUAUACUAUGCAUUAUUACUUGUCGAUCUAAAAGCAGCAAUUGUGGAAGAAACUAUCAAAUUUGCCAACGCAAUACAUCGUCCCACAACUUUUCAAGACGGUAAUCACGACAAAAGUACAGAAAUUACGGUAUAGCCUGUUCAACUAUUGAUUUUACUUUCCAUAUCUGGUCACAAGUAUAAUAUUGUCACCUCUUCCAGAAAUGACACACUAAGAACAGAGGUGUCGUGAGCAGACAUGACACACAGACCGACAUUGACGUACUCAACAACCAUAAAAUAAAUACUGUGCGUUCAAAAUGGCUGAAAUUUUAGUUAGACUAGUAAAACAUGACUGCAAGAUACUCCAGCUCUUGUUUAAGAGAGUUGUCAUCUCCAUGACCAUGUCGGAAACUUUUCAAACUGUCCUCAUAAAAUAGUGUAUAGGCAAGUACUGUAAGUUCUUCUACUUGAAUAUUGAUUAACAUCAAAUUAAUUUGAUAUUUAUAAAUACAUUUCAGAGUUGAUUCCCCAGUUUUAUAAAAGCCUGUUAAAUUUUAAUCGUUAAUAACUUUCACGAGAACCAAUCAGGGAAGGCUUUUUGGAAAAGAAGGCUUUCCUGAUUGGUAAUUAUUCAUGAUUAAAAAAUAACAGGCUUUUGUGCAAUCGGGCCGAUAUAUUUUAAUGUACAGUAUUUACUAAAAAAUUGUGUUAGUUCAAUCUUCUCAAUUCAAGCCUUACGCUUACCACUGCAAAUGGCAUGGUGGCGACGGGAGCUGGAAAAUCACCGCCAUCGCAGUCAUGCCCAAAGCUUUAGUAUUAUACUCAAGUGUGUGUUAUUUUGUUAUUUCCUUUUAAAAAUUUUACUUUGUGAUUAAUUUGUACAUAAAAUAGUUUGUUCAUAUAGAAGUAAUUAAUUUAAUUCAUCGCAAUAAGAGUGAUAGUAGUUGGAUUCUUGACUAAGGGUUAGAUGAAAAAUAGUUAAUGAAUAAUAUUCAAUUAAUUUAAUAAAA
Molecule: RNA transcript, 3060 nt
Organism: Nilaparvata lugens (brown planthopper)
Lineage: Eukaryota; Metazoa; Arthropoda; Insecta; Hemiptera; Delphacidae
Gene: pall
Gene name: F-box only protein 28
Exons: 8
Source: RefSeq, a predicted model, not a curated record